Molecule: unclassified non-coding RNA, 267 nt
Filed under: Hevea brasiliensis (rubber tree)
Lineage: Eukaryota; Viridiplantae; Streptophyta; Magnoliopsida; Malpighiales; Euphorbiaceae
Source: RNAcentral
GCUGUUUCAAUGAAUAAAGAUAUUUGUUUAAUAAUAGUACACCCCACCACUAGGCUUUAUAAGUUGGACCAAACAAAACAACAAUCCCAACUAGUACCCACUCAACUAAAAAAUGGUAACAUAUCAUGUCAAUUGAAGUGCAUUAUUUUCUUUUUUCAGAAGGAACACUAUGGCUAUUUUCAACUAUGCCUCAAUUAGUGUUUCAAGAUUGUAAGGCCUUGUGAGUUCAGAAUUUCCCCUCCACAUGAGCUUGGCAAUUUGAUUGUU